This is a long non-coding RNA of Ailuropoda melanoleuca (giant panda), 9224 nucleotides long. RefSeq lists it as uncharacterized. The record is from RefSeq and is a predicted model, not a curated record. NCBI's taxonomy places the organism in Eukaryota, Metazoa, Chordata, Mammalia, Carnivora, Ursidae. The transcript is spliced from 4 exons.
GGGAAGGAAGGAAGGAAGGAAGGAAGGAAGGAAGGAAGGAAGGCAGGCAGGCAGCCAAAAAAAGAAAGCUUUCCUAUGGUAAGAGUCAGGUGAGGGCACUUGUUGAAAUUAUAUCUUUCUUGACCUCUCCUGGAAAUUUUGCUUCAGGGUUUUGGGGAUGGGUUCUGGAAUUUGCAUUUUAAAACAGGGGCUUCUUUUGAGAAGUUAGGGAAGCACUGAUUGAAAGCAAGUUUGACCUUCUGUAGCAGAGAGAACUUCUGGAGUCAUCCAACUGGUCAGAAGCCUCCUCGACUACCCACACUUCUUUGUGAUUGUGCUUCCCCCAGCCAGGGCUCUGGAAAGUGUUCACGGCCGGGAGACCAGAGUUGUCUGGAGGUUACAGAGCAGAAAACCUUAGUGCGCGUAUGUGUUUGUACAAAACUGUGCACACUCAAACACACUUGCGGACACUACCCAAGAUGACGGCAGAAAAGGAAUUGGCUAAAAUCAUUGAAUUUGGGCGCAGAGACUGUGCUCAGAGGAAUAUUAUCUCUAAUUUUAAAAACAAAAGGAUGAAGGGAUAGUCCCAUUGAUAAUUGGGGAGAAUUUGGGUCUCAGUCCUGAAGGGAGGGAGGGUCUUGUCGCUGAAACCCAACAGUCUUCACCUCGGUCACCUUCCAGGAUGGUGCAGCUUCACCCACUGUGUCCUCCUGGCAAUUCCCGGAGGGCUAACACCUGUGUGCUUUAUGCCUAGAAAAUGCUAGAACCUGGUGGAACAGGGAAAGGCCCUCUUAGCCAGCCUCAGUGAGACAGGAGCCAGGAGAGGCUAAGGCUCUCCCUCCCGGUCUCCCCACUGCAGAGGCCACUUUUAGGCAACAGGCUUGAGCAAUAGAAACCAGGGCAAGGCAGACGGACCACAGUGACCACCAAGCUGAAUGCGAACAGGCUCACUGGGCAACUGACCUCAAAAUAGCCAUAGGCCCUAACUACCCAAUGGGCUACUUAUAACUGGUAAUCCUAAAAUUCCCAAAAAAGGGAAAAUUCCAUACAGCCCCAUAGUCCCUCACUCUGGCCCCUCAGCACCACCUCAUGGCCGACAGUCUCUCCUUUGCUGUCCUGCCCCCUGCUCCCUGGCCCUGUAUUAAGUAAACUUCUCUUUUGUUCUGCCUUGGGUGAAUCCUUUCACCGGCUGCCCUGCUGCCCCCCCCCCCACCCGCCAUCAGAGCAUCCCAUACCCACCUCCUUCUAGGGAACACUCUCUCCAGUCUAGACUCUCCUGUCUGUCUCCUCCCUGGGGCCCGCUGCCAAGGGGAUGGCUUUGCUUGCUGAACUCCAUGUAGCUUUUCUGUGUGACUUCUCUAACAGGAACUUGAAAAUAGUAUUCUGAACUUAUCAUGCUCAAUCAGUCCCAUUUUGAGGGACCAUGCAUACCAGGCGUGUUGAAGUUUGGGAUGAACUGGUGCUGGAUUAAUAGACCAGACCAGGAGCCACGAGACGUGACAGGGAUUGAACUGGGCCCGGAAAAUGGUUUAUGAGAACAAAACAACAAAAAUGAGAAUAUGCCAUUCUGUGAAUGUACUAAAAACCAUUGAGUUGUACACUGUCAGUGGGUGAAUUAUGUGGUAUGUGAAUUAUACCUCAAUAAAACUGCUACCCUCUCACUCCCCCCAAAAAGAAUUAAAUACUGAGAAGUAGAUAAUUUCCUGGAAAGGCAGUUUCUCAUUUUAAGACAUAAUGACCAGCCGACGUGAGGCUUGGUUUUCUCUCCCAUCCAAUCCUGUUUAGAAAUACCAGCCUGUGUCAUCCACCAGCAGCCCGGAGCCUGACCCAUGCCCACCCCCACAAACCAUGCCACUAUUGAAGAGGGCGAGACUUGACAAAUCCCAAAAUAGCCCAAGAGGCUAACCAUGAUUUUCCAGGUUUGGGUUUGCAAGCUGAAUCCUGACGACGACGACUUAACGGCCAGCACUCCGUGAAGAGUUACGACAGGCCAGGCACUGAACCCUGUAAGGUACUGCUAGCAGAUCUGCGUUUCACACAGGAGAAAACUGAAGCACGGUUUCCGGAAAUGGCCCAGACUCACUCAGCCGCGGAGUGGCUGGCCACCGUUCAACUUCAGGUUCUAACUUGGGUUGUACAGGGGAAACAUCUGGAGAGCUUUCUAAUCCACUGGUACCUGGUUCCUGCCCCUGGAGAUUCUAAUUUUAUUGAUUUAGGGUGUGGCCCGAGCAUCAGGCUUUUUUUGGUUUUGUUUAGAGCACACCAGGUGAUUCUAAUGAGAACCGAUCUCCAGGGUCCAAGGUCCACAAGAUCAAGGCUGUUCACUCCUUGCAGGCGCCACGCCCGUGACUUGAGUGGCAGUUACUGAAUGCACCGUUGAAUUCCUCCGUUUGGGGUUAAUACAGGGAAGAAGAGAAGUUUCAGGACAGGGGCCCUGGCUGCAGGGCUCGGCAGGAUUUGUCAGGCCUUGGCUGAUCCUUGACCUCCGUCAGCCUCCCCUCUCCACAGCUGGAGACCAUGAUCUCACCGCCCAGUCCAGCCCCACCCCACUCCAAGCCCUCUGCCCCUCUCGCCCUGGGUGGGGCAGGGUGGGGGGCAGGCAAGUCUUGUGCAUAUCAACAGCAAGAAUUCUUGAUCUUGAACCCACCUGACCUGGUGCUAAGCUCUGUAACCAGCUUCCGGAGUUGGUCCUGGGUCAGCCCUUGUGAACCUGGCUAAGGUGACUCUGAAUCGGCCCAGCUUCCUGCAAAGUUCUCAUCAGGAACGCCGUUCCCGCAUACAUGUGUAGCCCCUGCAUUUCACCUAGCAAGCGGUGAGUCCCUCUUCAGGCUUUGACCCCAGAGCUGCCCCUUUAUAAUAGCCGGCCCAAAUCCCUAUCCUGCCACGAUUCCCGAGUGGCUCUCCCUCCAUCAGUUUUGAGGUGGCCUCCUUUUGAGUCCUGGCAGGCUGCUGCCUAUUAAAUGGUCCUCUUAAAGACCCACAAACUUGCCCAGGAUUUACACUUUCAAUUGUUUAUCUGUCUGCCCUUCAAAAAUAGAAAUGGAGAGUCCUCUGAAAUUAAUAUGGAAAUUAGGUUGGAAACAUGCAAUUAAAACAGUCACAAAGACAAAGCAGGAAAUGAGCCUGAGAAGAUGAUGGCCCACCCUCCGGCCCUCUCUGCUGGGGCUGGAGGGGGAGCUCAUCUUCCCACCCCACCCCCAAGGCUUUGCUGGCCCUGCCUGCAGCCUCCCUGUCCUGCCCUCCCAAACCCGGGCUGGCUUCCUGCCCACCCCUGCCAUUAGAAGGCCGCUGCUGCAGGGAGCUUUUGUCUCCCCAAACCUCACAAGUUCAGCAGGACGUUGGCUAAACUCCACUGAAAAAUGUGAGCCCCUUGACUCUCACUGUUAACUUCUGUCCUGCAUACGGCCCCCUCCCGUGGUCCAGGACAGGAUGCUCUGACUGGCAGGCUCCCAGCUACCUUCUCACUGCUGAGCUCCCCACUCUCAAGGCUUUUAGAAACACUUCCGUUACCAACACCCUCCCCUUUGGCUUCUAGCUCUUUGCAGAAUCUCCCUCCUCCUUCCUUCAGCGAAGGAACACAACUGCCUAGAGCCCCUUUGAGUGGAGGCUGCUUGUUCUUAACACCUCCAACUUACCUUAGGCCUAGAAGCCACUGCUGACGUUCUUGCAGCUUCUUGCUGUUUACAGGCAAAUACAUGCUCACCCUCCUUUGAAAUCUGUGCCAUCUUCCUACACCAUCUGUAAUAUUGAGGCUUAGUUCCUCUACUGACAGAAAACCUCAAGAAACAGUGUUUCAACCUCACCAGAUUUUUAUUUUUUGAGUUAAAGAAGUCUCAGAGGUAGACAGUCCAGAGCAAGUACUGUGGCUUUGUGAGGUCCUCAGGGACCCAGGCUUUUUCCUGCUCAGUGCUUUGCCAUUGCUAGGUUGGGACCCUCAUCCUCAUGGCCCAAGAUGCAUCUCAGGCUUCUGUCAUUACAUGGGAUUUCCAGGUUGGCCGUCGAGGAAAGGGGAAAAAAGGCUUCCAGAAGUACCAGAGAGCAGUCACAUGGGCACCCUGAGCUGCCAGCUAGGCUGUGCAAAGUGUUUAAAAAGUCUAGGUUGACAGUGGUUCCAGCUAAAAAACUCAAACUCCUUAUUGCUGAGGAAGAAGGGGCAGGUGGGUAUUUGGUGGCAACAGUCCGUUUCUUCCAUGCCCUUCUCUACCAGCCUUGUUGUGCCCUCCACCUACAACUUGGUUCUUCUUCACAAGCUCUGAGGACUUCAGUAUUUGCAUCAUCUGGGGAGACCUUAGGAUCCCCAUUCUGUGACCUCCCUCCAGCCUCCCAUCCUCGUGGCCAUAGCACGGAGCUUGGAGCUUGUCGGUACACCUUGGGGAAGGGUGCGGUGUCCUCUGACCACAACCUCUUACCCUUCCAGCUCCCUCCUCCCUCCUUCCAAUUCUAUUCUGGGACCUCAUUUGGAUCUUGAGUUCCCUGACUCUGCAUUUAGCAUCCUCAAUUUACUCCCCAGGGCCACAUGGUGUCCUGCCUUUCUCUUGCCCACACUCCCAGGUCCCUCCUCCCUGACCGACCCAGCCCCUGCCUCCGUCUGCAGAGCCCGCUCCUAUAGACACCACAGAGCUCAGAUGCAUGGUGUCCAACGGCAGCUGCUUCCACACACUGCUUUCUUUCAAAGCCUCUUCCGUGGACUUUGUCAAAUCCUUCCCCCAAUUCCCUUAGCAGAGAUUUCAAACCCUAAUGACUCCCUUAAGCCUUCCCCCAGUAAUGACCCUGCUUCUAUUUUUUUUUUUAAGAUUUUAUUUAUGUGAGGGGGGGUGGUAGGGGCAGAGGGAGAGAGAGAAUCUGAAGCAGACUUCCAGCUGAGUGUGGAGCCCAAUGUACGGCUUGAUCUCAGGGCCCUGAGAUCAUGGCCUGAGCCGAAAUCAAGUGGAAUGCUUAACUGACUGAGCCACCCAGGCUAUCUUUCAGAGAAGGGGUCCUCAGGUGUGGUCUCCUCCACUCCCCCGCCCUCCCCCCGCAAGCUUCCUGAAUCCAGCCCUUUCCUUCGGCCCCCAUCUCCAAGGAAGGAGGGGUCUCCUCCCUGGGCCAAGGCUGAACCGCUACAGGCAGUACACUUCUCCUCUCCCUUUGAGUAGCCGCUCCAUUGCCUGUACCUUUAAUCUCUUUGUCCUCCUUGGCUUCUUCCUCCCAGAGUAGAAAUAUGAGGCUCUCUUUCAAACUAAAAAGCCCCCAUGUAUCUCACCCUGCUUGCCUAUAGAGAUCCUUCUGCAGCCCAGUUUGUGGAAAAGUUGCCUCCCCUCCCUUUCUCCACUUCCUCACUCCCUUCGGACUUCCGCCCUUUCCUGUCUGGCUCCUGCUCUUACUAUGUCCUGGAAACUGGGUCAAGGUGCCCACUGACAAGGCUUUUUGAGGCUUCUCCUUGGUGGCUUCCCCUGGGGCAGGACUCACUAUCAGCCACUCCCUCCCUCUUCGGAAAUUCUCCGUCCUCUCUUGGCUUGGCCCCCCUUCAGGGUCUGCUGUGCCACCUCCUUUUCCUCUGGGCCUUGAUACGGGUAAUUCGUCCAUCUGGGGUGGAGGCUGUCCCCAUGGCCUGGGCCCCAUCACAAUUCUGAAUCAGCUGGACUUACGGAAACACCUCUCUGUCUAGGAAAUGGAACAUGCAAACUCAGCCUUCGCUUACCUUUCCCUGGCAAACAGGACCUGCUGGCCUUAUAUGGAAGGCCCUGACCCCCCAGCUGGUCACACUCUGCUCCCCACUUGUUGCCUCGAAGGCUCGAAGGCUCUACAACACAGGCUCCCUCCAGAGAGCGCUCUGCUGCUUGAGAGGCCCUGUCUUCCCCAAUUCAGGGAUUGCUUUCCCUUGAACAAGCCCAUCAAGCUCCUUACCAAUUGUUUUAUUUUUGUCACCUGACAGCGUCUUGAGAAGUUGGGUUCUCCCAGGGCUCCCCAGCCCCACGGUUCUUCCCAGCGUCCAUAUCCCUGUGAUGAAGGAGAGUCGGAAGAAAGGCAGGCAGGAACAAGGGACAAGGGGCCACCCCGCCCGAAGAAACCACCCUUGAAAGGAUUUUACAGCACCCUGGAAGGAGCCCUCCACCCUUUCCCAUAUGAUAGAUAAGUGACAAAAACCUGAUUGGGUGACAGGCACGUGGAGGGUUAAUCAGAUUAAAACGGCCCUCCAGCAAGCCAUAAAAACCCCUAGACCUAGCUACUUGGACUCCGACUCCGGUGCAGGGUCUCCUCCCUUCUUGGGCUUUGUACUGUCACUGCCCUAUAGCUCAAUAAACCCGCUUUGCUGCCUACCAUGCUGUCUGGUCGGUCUACCUCUUCAGUCUUCGAAGCCGUGAGACCAAGAACUUCAGGAACCCGAAAGGAAAAAAUCUUAUAACCCCCGACGGGGAUCUCUUUCAUACCCAGAGUUUUGACUGCUCCCUACAUCCCAGCAGGACUCUGGUUUGAACUGAACUGAGUCCCCCAGUUCUCAGGCACGUUUGGGCAUGUGUGGGGGCCCGCUGGAUGGGAUCGUCUCCGGUCUGUUUCUGUGUGGACUAGAUGUCUCCUGGGGAAGAACAUGGUUAUUGUUUCCGUCCCCUCCAUCGCAGAUCAACAGAGUGAUCUCAGAGUUAAUCCAACACAUAUUAACAAGCAGUCUUCUAGCCCUGGGAGGUGGGGGUCAGCAGGGAACAAAAAAGACAAAAUCCUGUCUUCGUGCAGACAGGCAUAAACAGCAAAAUACGAAAGAUACGUUGUGAGAAGUGCUAAGGAGAAAAAUUACACAGGGUGAAGGGAUAGGAAGUGAGUGUGUGAGGCUUGACUUUUGAGGUGGCAUAAUCACUGAGAUGGUGUGGCAAGAUUGAAGGGGUGAUGUGUGGCCGUGUGCAGGGGAAAGUACUCCAAGUGGAGGGGACAGCAAGUGCAAAAGCCCUGAGAGGACAGAAAAGGUCCUUUGCUUGAGGACCGAAGGGAGUGAAUAAGGAACAGCAGCCUAGAGAUAAGUAUAUGUGACCCUGAAGAAGUUGCAUUUCCCAUGGCUCCCUCUCGAAAGAAGUUAUGAAAAAUUUCUCAAGGAGUUCAAAGCUGGAGUCUGGAGCAGCUCUCAGCAGCUUUCAGAGUCCAUGGAUAGAGCUCAGGAACCAUCCUUUUUGAGCGUGUGGUGCCCCCUCCUUGCUCUGAAAGGCCCUGCCCCUGUCCAGAAAAGACGCAGCUUAUAAUAAUCAGGGAACAAUACAUGUACCUGCAGGACAUGCAAGCUUAACCACUGCAGAGACCUUGGGACGUAGAGUAUCUCGCAAGGACUUUCACAGUUCCUUCCUGCCUGUCACUGGUGCUCCUGGAGGACAGAUGGUUUCGACGACGGAGGAUUUCUAUUUUUGGCCGGAGAAGAAACACGGAACUCCAUCACUGCAGGAUUUCGUUAACCAAAGCAGGCGCACUGACGGAAAAUGGGACGGAUGAUGUUUUACAACAGUGUUACGGGCGCUCUUCCCAGACCACAGCCCAACAAAGAAAUUUUAUCCGUGCUCAGUGCAGGUCUGCCCCCUAUGGGCCAGAUUCCCAACUUACUUAGUUUCAUCAAGUCUGUUAGGGCUCAGAACGAUGGGUCUUUUUUUUUUUUUUAAUUUAUUUAAAUUUAUUUAUUUUUGACGAUGGGUCUGUUUAAAUCCUUAAGUCCUGGGAGCAAAAUUCGUGUCUUUCUUCUCCACUGUAACUAGCUGUCGCUCUGUAAAGAGUUCUUCAGGACCUCCUUCCUUCGCUGGGUCUCUCAGGCCUCAGGGACAGCCGAGUUGGGCUCAGAAUGUGAUUGGAGGACUCAACAGCUGACUCGAAAUCACAGAAUUUUUAAACUCUAGAAGCGGAAGUUUAGGCAAAGUACUUUCCUUACUCUCUGCCUGGGAGAAGUGCAUGUCUCUAGCUCAAGUACGGACACAUAGAUGAAGUUUCCAUUUUGGACAGGAUAUAACCAAAGAUGAGCUAACACGGGGUGUUCUGGGUUGAAUUUCACUAGGUUGCGAAGGGCCUAAACGUACCGAUUCUGCCUGUACGUGUCUGCAUUUUGUCGUUUGGUAUUCACCAGACACUUAAUGUAAAAGACUGAUUAUUAUAGUUCCUUAAGAAAUAACCCACGUUUGACCCACUCUGCUCCUGUGGGACGACCAGCAACUCUGGGCCUGCUGGCCACACACGGAGCACAGUGCAGGCGGGCCCUUUAAGUGAAAUACACCUGCGAUUUGAAGCUCCUUUUAAAUGGGUCAUUUUGGGUCUGCAUGUGACAUGACGCUUGCUGGUAGUGGAACACCUUUAAGGCAAAAUAGGAAGAAUGUAGGAGGAGAAAACCCAUCUAGGAUUGUGGCAGGAAGUCGUCUUUAAGGCAGGCACUUUUAUAUUGACAGAAUUUAGCAGAGAAUUCACAUUUACUAAGCACUUACUAUGUGCCAGGUGUCAUGCUAAAUGCUUUCCACGGAUUAUUUCAUUUGUUUCCCCCCACCAGUUCUGUGAGGCUGGUGUUCUUGCAAUCUCUGUUCCACUGGUGGGGGAGAAGAGGCUCAGGGAGGGUAAGUGACUUGGAGAACAUCACGUGCCCUGAAGUUGGAGAGUCAGGAUUCACAUCCAGGCAGUCUGACUCCAGGUCUGUGCUCCUUGCCUCACCUACCGUAGCAACUUAUUUAGGGCCCAACCCUGCUGAUUAUCAGGGGCAAAGGCAAUCAGGGACAUGGGGCUCCUUCACUGAGGACCCGAUGCUGAGCUUCUCAUCAGCGUACACAUCUAUGCCUCUAUAGGUGGGGUCAUGCAAAUCUUUUCCUCCUCAGUCCCUGGGUUUAUCACUAGACCUGGGAUAUUUCAGAAUAAAUUUGCGCUAGUAAUUAAAUAUACAGUGUUCUUCCAUAAAAGCUGAGUGCGGAGAAGCCCCAGUAGUCUUGAGUGCAUAAUAAGCAGUGGAAGGAAACCAAGGCCAGAGAGGAGGGACCUCGAAGGUGUUUUCUGGGUCCUUCCAGGCACUAGAUGUUGAGGUGGGAGAUGACUGUAAUAUGAUAUACCUCAAUCUACCGGGGAAAAAUCUUGUUUAAUCCCCCAUCCUUCAAUAAAAAAUGUAAAAAAAAAAUUGUUGUUUGAGAGCAAAUCUUUUAUAAUUUUCCUUACACAUCUUGUGGAUGUCAAUUAAAAACAAUCUUUGGGGCACCUGGGUGGCUCAGUUGGUUAAGUGUCUGACUCGGUUUCGGAUCAGGUGAUGAUUUCAUGGGUUGUGAGAU